This is a transfer RNA of 98 nucleotides. It matches the Rfam family "tRNA". From Rfam's summary of the family: Transfer RNA (tRNA) molecules are approximately 80 nucleotides in length. Their secondary structure includes four short double-helical elements and three loops (D, anti-codon, and T loops). Further hydrogen bonds mediate the characteristic L-shaped molecular structure. tRNAs have two regions of fundamental functional importance: the anti-codon, which is responsible for specific mRNA codon recognition, and the 3' end, to which the tRNAs corresponding amino acid is attached (by aminoacyl-tRNA synthetases). tRNAs cope with the degeneracy of the genetic code in two manners: having more than one tRNA (with a specific anti-codon) for a particular amino acid; and 'wobble' base-pairing, i.e. permitting non-standard base-pairing at the 3rd anti-codon position. The record is from Rfam.
GCGGUUUUAGCUCAGUUGGGAGAGCGCCAGACUGAAGAUUCGAAAACUUCGGUCAACAAGUUAUCUGGAGGUCCUGUGUUCGAUCCACAGAAAUCGCA